Molecule: non-coding RNA, 99 nt
Filed under: Paenalicyclobacillus macrosporangiidus
Lineage: Bacteria; Bacillati; Bacillota; Bacilli; Caryophanales; Alicyclobacillaceae
Description: Alicyclobacillus macrosporangiidus SAM-I sequence
Rfam family: SAM riboswitch aptamer (S box leader)
About the family: The SAM riboswitch is found upstream of a number of genes which code for proteins involved in methionine or cysteine biosynthesis in Gram-positive bacteria. The SAM riboswitch acts at the level of transcription termination control.
Source: Rfam by way of RNAcentral
AUCUCAUCCAGAGCGGCGGAGGGACAGGCCCCAUGAAGCCCAGCAACCGGCCUCGAGUCGGUGCCAAUUCCUGCGGACCCUGUGUCCGAGAGAUGAGAG